This 1024-nucleotide long non-coding RNA is filed under the name Homo sapiens (human). Its description in RNAcentral is "HSALNT0341269". Lineage: Eukaryota; Metazoa; Chordata; Mammalia; Primates; Hominidae. The record is from RNAcentral.
UCGGCCUCCCAAAGUGCUGGGAUUACAGGCGUGAGCCACCAUGACCAGCCAUUCCUGAGGUUUUAAUAACCUGAUGUUUCUCUCCUGUUGGAGACAACCCUGAAGAUCAGUUUUUACCCCAGAGGACUGACCAACAAGAGGUCAAGGUGUGCUUGAAAAAGCUGGUGUAGGAGUUGGUUCAGGAAAGGUCAGGCUGUCCAAGCAUUCAGGAAUACCUGUGUGACUCUCCUUGUAAUUAGCACUCAGGUCCCAGAGAGCUACUCACUGCAUGUGUCUUUGACCUGCUGUUGAUUCAUCUCCUCUGCUAAGAAGGUGGCUGAUGGCUGGGCUAUUUACACCUAGGAGGGUGUUCCAGGCCAGGCCCCAGGGAGCCUAAAAUAAUCAAAAAGGACACAUGAACCAUUAACAAGAAAAAUAUUUAAAUAAGAAACUCACCAAGCCAGGAGAAUAAUGAAUACCUGGAUGUGCCCCCUAGGAAUCUGGAUCUCUUCUCUUUUCCCCACCCUGCCCUCAACUCCCCUUACAUACAUACAGCCUGGAUCACAAGACCCAAGAAAACCAUUCCACCAGCUGCUGAGAGAAGAGCCACAAAAGGACCCAGAACUUCUCCAUGGCUACCUUAGAGCACCCUAAAAUGUGCUAACAGCCAUUGUUAGCAUUCAGGAGCUGUUUAUUCCCAUUUUCACACUACACUAAAGAAUUUUAAACAAUCACAAGAUAGACUGGCUGGAAGUUGGUGCUUGGAACAUCCCACGUCACCUAAAAGCACAGUGCUGCAAUCUCAGAAACCCCAGGCUCAGCCAGCAGAGAGAGGAGAAGCAGCUGGACAUUGGAGACUAUGAUUGGACAUUAGAGAGAAGGAGCUUGACUUCACAGAGAAAGCAUGAUGGAAUAAUUUCAGAGAAAAGUCUGGCCAGGGAUGACCAGACUUCAGGGGAAGAUAAUCUUGCUCAAUAUCCUUUUCUGCUCCCCUUCCUGCUGAGAGUCACUUUGAUUGGCAAUAAAAUAUCUCACAUUUACCAUC